GACGAACCGUGCGAACGUUGUUCGGAAUCACUGGGCUUAAAGGGCGCGUAGGCGGGCAGUCAAGUCAGGGGUGAAAUCCCACGGCUCAACCGUGGAAGUGCCUUUGAUACUGGCUGUCUCGAGGGAGGUAGGGGCGUGCGGACCUUCCGGUGGAGCGGUGAAAUGCGUAGAUAUCGGAAGGAACGCCGGUGGCGAAAGCGGCGCGCUGGACCUCUUCUGACGCUGAGGCGCGAAAGCCAGGGGAGCAAACGGG
This 253-nucleotide ribosomal RNA is filed under the name uncultured bacterium. RNAcentral's name for it is "partial 16S ribosomal RNA". It matches the Rfam family "Bacterial small subunit ribosomal RNA", at positions 524 to 776 of the family's 1533-position model. The record is from RNAcentral.